This 474-nucleotide ribosomal RNA is filed under the name uncultured bacterium. RNAcentral describes it as "bacterial SSU rRNA". It matches the Rfam family "Bacterial small subunit ribosomal RNA", at positions 32 to 477 of the family's 1533-position model. The record is from RNAcentral.
AAUCAACGCUGGCGGCGUGCCUAACACAUGCAAGUCGAACGCGAAAGCCCCUUCGGGGGUUAGUAGAGUGGCGUCCGGGUGAGUAACACGUGGGUAAUCUGCCUUCGGGUGGGGGAAUAACCCAGGGAAACUUGGGCUAAUACCGCAUAAUGCAGCGGCACCUAAUGGUGAUUAGUUGUUAAAGCGGGGGAUCGCAAGACCUCGCGCCUGAAGAGGAGCCUGCGGCAGAUUAGCUAGUUGGUGAGGUAAUGGCUCACCAAGGCUUCGAUCUGUAGCUGGUCUGAGAGGACGGCCAGCCACACUGGCACUGACACACGGGCCAGACUCCUACGGGAGGCAGCAGUGGGGAAUUUUGGGCAAUGGGCGAAAGCCUGACCCAGCAACCGCCGCGUGAGGGAGGAAAUCCUUCGGGAUGUAAACCUCACAAGCAAGGGAAGAGAGCUGCAGGCUGAAUAAUCCUGCAGUACGACGGUA